RNAcentral lists this ribosomal RNA (595 nucleotides) under fungal sp. RNAcentral describes it as "eukaryotic LSU rRNA". The record is from RNAcentral. Lineage: Eukaryota; Fungi.
UCUUGGUCAUUUAGWGGAAGUAAAAGUCGUAACAAGGUUUCCGUAGGUGAACCUGCGGAAGGAUCAUUAAUUACGAAAGCUAUAGCCCCUUCGGGGGUUAUUGCAUCCACCCUUUGUCUACUUGUACCUCUUGUUGUUUCCUCGGCGGGCUUGCCCGCCGCUAGGAACCACCUAAACCCUUGCAUCUAUAGUAUUAAAAUCUCUGAUAACUAUUUAAAUUAUUACAACUUUCAACAAUGGAUCUCUUGGUUCUGGCAUCGAUGAAGAACGCAGCGAAAUGCGAAAAGUAGUGUGAAUUGCAGAAUUCCGUGAAUCAUCGAAUCUUUGAACGCACAUUGCGCCCCUCGGUAUUCCGUGGGGCAUGCCUGUUCGAGCGUCAUUUACACCCUCAAGCUCUGCUUGGUGUUGGGCGUCUGUCCCGCUUUAUGCGUGGACUCGCCCCAAAGUCAUUGGCAGCGGUCGUGCCAGCUUCUCGCGCAGCACAUUUGCGUUUCUUGAAGUUUGGUGGAUCAGCAUCCAGUAAGCUCUUUUAUGACUUGACCUCGGAUCAGGUAGGGAUACCCGCUGAACUUAAGCAUAUCAAUAAGCGGAGGAA